AGCCAAAAGUGGAGCUAACCUUGAGCAAAAAGCUAAGGGACAGUGGCCAGGCCCUGAGUUCAAGUAUUGACACAGUAAAUAGAUAAGUAAAUGGCUGAAUUAGCAUUUCCUUGCUGAAAACAGACCUAUCUAUAUAAAAGACCUUUUACCCAAAACUAAUUAGCUCUGUGUGUGUGUGUGUGUGUGUGUGUGUGUGUGUGUGU
This is a long non-coding RNA of Perognathus longimembris pacificus (Pacific pocket mouse), 203 nucleotides long. RefSeq lists it as uncharacterized. Lineage: Eukaryota; Metazoa; Chordata; Mammalia; Rodentia; Heteromyidae. The transcript has 3 exons. The record is from RefSeq and is a predicted model, not a curated record.